RNAcentral lists this ribosomal RNA (301 nucleotides) under uncultured bacterium. RNAcentral's name for it is "partial 16S ribosomal RNA". It matches the Rfam family "Bacterial small subunit ribosomal RNA", at positions 509 to 808 of the family's 1533-position model. The record is from RNAcentral.
CAGCAGCCGCGGUAAUACGUAGGUCCCGAGCGUUGUCCGGAUUUAUUGGGCGUAAAGCGAGCGCAGGCGGUUAGAUAAGUCUGAAGUUAAAGGCUGUGGCUUAACCAUAGUACGCUUUGGAAACUGUUUAACUUGAGUGCAAGGGGGGAGAGUGGAAUUCCAUGUGUAGCGGUGAAAUGCGUAGAUAUAUGGAGGAACACCGGUGGCGAAAGCGGCUCUCUGGCUUGUAACUGACGCUGAGGCUCGAAAGCGUGGGGAGCAAACAGGAUUAGAUACCCCUGUAGUCCCUGUCUCUUAUACA